RNAcentral lists this ribosomal RNA (380 nucleotides) under uncultured Bacillota bacterium. RNAcentral's name for it is "bacterial SSU rRNA". It matches the Rfam family "Bacterial small subunit ribosomal RNA", at positions 521 to 896 of the family's 1533-position model. Lineage: Bacteria; Bacillati; Bacillota. The record is from RNAcentral.
UAAUACGUAGGGAGCAAACGUUGUCCGGAUUUAUUGGGCGUAAAGGGCUCGUAGGCGGUUCAACAAGUCGGUCGUGAAAACUCGGGGCUCAACUCCGAGACGCCGGCCGAAACUGUUGUGACUAGAGUUCGGUAGAGGUGAGUGGAAUUCUCGGUGUAGCGGUGGAAUGCGCAGAUAUCGAGAGGAACACCAUUAGCGAAGGCGGCUCACUGGGCCGAUACUGACGCUGAGGAGCGAAAGCGUGGGGAGCAAACAGGAUUAGAUACCCUGGUAGUCCACGCCGUAAACGAUGAGCACUAGGUGUGGCGGACUGAUUCACGUCUGCUGUGCCGCAGCUAACGCAUUAAGUGUUCCGCCUGGGGAGUACGGCCGCAAGGCUA